This 464-nucleotide ribosomal RNA is filed under the name uncultured bacterium. RNAcentral's name for it is "bacterial SSU rRNA". It matches the Rfam family "Bacterial small subunit ribosomal RNA", at positions 28 to 508 of the family's 1533-position model. The record is from RNAcentral.
GACGAACGCUGGCGGCGUGCUUAACACAUGCAAGUCGAGCGAUGAAACUUCUUCGGAAGUGGAUUAGCGGCGGACGGGUGAGUAACACGUGGGUAACCUGCCUCAUAGAGGGGAAUAGCCUUUCGAAAGGAAGAUUAAUACCGCAUAAGAUUGUAAUAUCGCAUGAUAUAGCAAUUAAAGGAGUAAUCCGCUAUGAGAUGGACCCGCGUCGCAUUAGCUAGUUGGUGAGGUAACGGCUCACCAAGGCGACGAUGCGUAGCCGACCUGAGAGGGUGAUCGGCCACAUUGGGACUGAGAUACGGCCCAGACUCCUACGGGAGGCAGCAGUGGGGAAUAUUGCACAAUGGGGGGAAACCCUGAUGCAGCAACGCCGCGUGAGUGAUGACGGUCUUCGGAUUGUAAAGCUCUGUCUUUAGGGACGAUAAUGACGGUACCUAAGGAGGAAGCCACGGCUAACUACGUGC